GAACAGCUGGAAACGGCUGCUAAUACCGAAUACGUCUUUUCAUCGCAUGGUGAGAAGAAGAAAAGGAACGGGCCUCUACACAAAGCGGUCGCCGAAGGAGGGGUUUUUGCGUCUGAUUAGCUAGUUGGAGGGGUAACGGCCCAACAAGGCGACGAUCAGUAGCCCGGUCCUGAGAGGAUGAACGGCCACAUUGGGACUGAGACACGGCCCAGACUCCUACGGGAGGCAGCAGUGGGGAAUCUUCCGCAAUGGACGAAAGUCUGACGGAGCAACGCCGCGUGAGUGAAGACGGUCUUCGGAUUGUAAAGCUCUGUUAUACGGGACGAACGGCAAGGUGGUAAAUAGCCAUCAUGAGUGACGGUACCGUAAGAGAAAGCCACGGCUAACUACGUGCCAGCAGCCGCGGUAAU
This 410-nucleotide ribosomal RNA is filed under the name uncultured Megasphaera sp. RNAcentral describes it as "bacterial SSU rRNA". It matches the Rfam family "Bacterial small subunit ribosomal RNA", at positions 144 to 524 of the family's 1533-position model. The record is from RNAcentral. Lineage: Bacteria; Bacillati; Bacillota; Negativicutes; Veillonellales; Veillonellaceae.